AUACGGAGGGGGCUAGCGUUGUUCGGAUUUACUGGGCGUAAAGCGCACGUAGGCGGUAUAUCAAGUUAGGCGUGAAAGCCCCGGGCUCAACCCGGGAACUGCGCUUAUUACUGAUAAACUAGAGUCCGGGAGAGGGUAGCGGAAUUCCCAGUGUAGAGGUGAAAUUCGUAGAUAUUGGGAAGAACACCAGUUGCGAAGGCGGCUACCUGGACCGAUACUGACGCUGAUGCGCGAAAGCGUGGGGAGCAAACAGGAUUAGAAACCCCAGUAGUCC
This 274-nucleotide ribosomal RNA is filed under the name uncultured bacterium. RNAcentral describes it as "partial 16S ribosomal RNA". It matches the Rfam family "Bacterial small subunit ribosomal RNA", at positions 523 to 796 of the family's 1533-position model. The record is from RNAcentral.